This 2116-nucleotide long non-coding RNA is filed under the name Homo sapiens (human). Its description in RNAcentral is "non-protein coding lnc-NCOA3-5:4". Lineage: Eukaryota; Metazoa; Chordata; Mammalia; Primates; Hominidae. The record is from RNAcentral.
UAUUUAUUUACUUCCUCUACAGUUUUCCUGACUGCUACAUUUCAUGAGAAGGGAUUGUUUAUGAGGGUCAAGGAGCUGGAGGCCUGGGGAGGAGCUGGUGUUUCUGUUCAAGUUUGAGGGUCCUGGAGCUGGAGUCCAGGGGAGGAGCCGGUGCUGCCACUGAUGUCUUAGGGUCGUGGAGCUGAAGAUCCCAGAGGAGCCGGUGCUGCUAUUCUAGCUUGAGUUUCGUGGAGCUGGAGACCCAGGGAGAAGAUGGUGCUGCUGUUCUAAUUUAAGGAUCGUGAAACAGAAGACCCAGAAAGGAGCUGGUGCUGCCGCUGCUCAGAUCUGAGGGUGUUGGAGCUGGAGACUUAGGGAGGAGACGUCUUGUUCUAGUUUCAGGGUCGUGGAGCUGCAGACUGAGGCAGGAGCAUUGUUGUUAUAGUUCGAGGGUCAGAAAGCUGGCGACCCAGGGAGGAGAGGUCUUGUUCUGGUCUGAGGGUCGUGGAGCUGCAGACCCAGGGAGGAGCAAUUUUGUUGUAGUUCGAGGGUCAGGAAGCUGGCGACCCAGGGAGGAGAGGUCUUCUUCUGGUGUGAGGGUCGUGGAGCUGCAGACGCAGGGAGGAGCAAUUUUGUUGUAGUUCGACGGUCAGGAAGCUGGCGACCCAGGGAGAGGUCUUGUACUAGUCUGAGGGUCGUGGAGCUGCAGACCCAGGGAGGGGCAAUGUUGUUGUAAUUCGAGGGUCUGGCAGCUGGCAACUCGGGGAGGAGAAGUCUUGUUGGAGUUUGAGGGUCGUGGAGCUGCCAACCCAGGGAGGAGCAAUUUUGUUGUAGUUCAAGGGUCCGGAAGCUGGCGACCCAGGGAGGAGAGGUCUUGUUCUAUUGUGAGGGUCGUGGAGCUGCCGACCCAGGGAGGAGCAAUUUUGUUGUAAUUUGAGGGUCCGGAAGCUGGCGACCCAGGGAGGAGAGGUCUUGUUCGAGUUCGAGGGUCGUGGAGCUGCAGACCCAGGGAGGAGCCAUUUUGUUGUAGUUCGAGUGUCAGGAAGCUGGCGACUCAGGUAGGAGAAAUUUUGUUCUAGUUUCAGGGUUGUGGAGCUGCAGACCCAGGGAGGAGCAAGGUUGUUGUAAUUCGAGGGUCAGGAAGCUGGCGACCCAGGGAGGAGAGGUCUUGUUCUGGUCUGAGGGUCAUGGACCUGCAGACCCAGGGAGGAGCAGUGUUGUUGUAGUUUGAAGGUCAGGAAGCUGGCGGCCCAGGGAGGAGAGGUCUUGUUCUAGUUUGAGGGUCGUGGAGCUGCAGACCCAGGGAGGAGCCAUGUUGGUUUGAAUGUUGUGGAUCUGGAGAUCCACGGAGGAGCUGGUGCUGCCUUUGAAGUCUGAGAGUCACUGAGCUGGAGAUCCAGAGAGGAACCGGUGUUGCUGUUCUAGUCUGAACAGAUCUAGAGUUCUGGGGAGUUGCCGGUUCUGCCUCUCAAGUCUGAGAGUUGUUGAGCUGGAGAUUCAGGGAGGAGCCUGUGUUGCUGUUGUAGUUUGAGGGUCAUGGAGCUGCAGACUCAGGGAGGAGGGGUGCGGUUCUAGUCUGAGGGUUGUGGAGCUUGAGACACAGGGAGGAGCUGGUGCUGCUGUUGUUUAAGGCUGAGGGUUGUGGUGCUGGAGACCCAGGUAAGAGCUGGUGCUGCUGUUGUUUAAGGCUGAGGGUUGUGUAGCUGGACAGUGGGGAGGAGGUAGUCUUAGUGUCUAAUGUGAGGUUGGUGGAGCUGUGGACCUGGGGUGGGGCCGGUGCUACUGUGUAGUUUGAGGGUCAUGGAACUGGAGACCUAGGGAGGAGCUGGUGCUACCACCAUUUAAGUCAGAGGGUCAUGGAUCUGGAGCUUUGGGGAACAGCCCAUGCUGCUGUUUAACUGUGGGGAGGAUGUGCUGUGUCCAUUGAAGUUUGAGGGUUUGGGAGCUGGAGACCCAGGGAGGAGCUGAUGAUGCCAUUCUAUUUUGAGGGUCGUGGAUCUGGGGACCUGGGGAGAGGCUGGUACUGCUGUUGUAGUUUGAGGUUCGUGGAACUGGAGACAGGGGGAGGAGCCGGUGGUGCUGUUCAUGUCUGAGGGUUGUAGAGCUGGAGACCCAGGGAGAAGCCCGUACUACAGCU